RNAcentral lists this ribosomal RNA (436 nucleotides) under uncultured bacterium. RNAcentral describes it as "bacterial SSU rRNA". It matches the Rfam family "Bacterial small subunit ribosomal RNA", at positions 338 to 790 of the family's 1533-position model. The record is from RNAcentral.
CCUACGGGAGGCAGCAGUAAGGGAUAUUGCAUAAUGGACGGAAGUCUGAUGCAGCGACGCCGCGUGGGCGAAGAAGGUUUUCGGACCGUAAAGUCCUUUUCUAUGUGACGAGAUAGGACGGUAGCAUAGGAAUAAGUGUCGGCUAACUACGUGCCAGCAGCCGCGGUAAUACGUAGGACACGAACGUUAUCCGGAGUUACUGGGCGUAAAGCGCGCGCAGGCGGUGAGAUAAGUUGCCUAUGAAAGUUACCGGCUAAACUGGUAAAAGUUAGGUGAAACUGUCUGACUAGAGAGAAAUAGAGGGAAGUAGAAUUCCGGGUGUAGUGGUGAAAUGCGUAGAUAUCCGGAGGAAUACCGGUGGCGAAGGCGGCUUCCUGGAUUUCCACUGACGCUGAGGCGCGAAAACGUGGGUAGCGAACGGGAUUAGAAACCCCGG